RNAcentral lists this long non-coding RNA (450 nucleotides) under Brassica napus (rape). Its description in RNAcentral is "long non-coding RNA (BNAP_LNC023899)". The record is from RNAcentral. Lineage: Eukaryota; Viridiplantae; Streptophyta; Magnoliopsida; Brassicales; Brassicaceae.
CGACCACGAGUAAAUAUCAACGAUAUUCCCCGUCAGGGUUCUAGUGGUCGGUAUUCUUCUCCAACCAUUCCUUCAUGAGCCCCCAUCGAGUCGAUACUCGGGUUCUCUGAAUGGAAAGCUCCUUCUGGAUCAUCGAGUCUCGUAUCUGAUCCCGGAGUAGGGGAAUUUCGUCAUGCAACCGACGGAGAUUACUUCCCAUAGAACGUUGACGAGGACCAACUGCUAUGUUACCGCGAGAACCAGUGGAGAGAGCUGUUGACAAAGAGGACGAGCUAUGCGCUGGACAAUCGAUCCUGGGUAUGAAGGAGAGUGAAGAUACCUCCUCCAAGUCUUAGCCUUAUGAUAAUCAUCGUGCACAGCAGAUAUCGACAAACAAAGGGCACUUCCUAUAAAUAAAUAAAAAGGAGGAGUUCAGAAUGAAGAUCAAGAGAAUAAAAAGAGCAAGUGAUC